CCUACGGGAGGCAGCAGUGGGGAAUAUUGGACAAUGGGCGCAAGCCUGAUCCAGCAAUGCCGCGUGAGUGAUGAAGGCCUUAGGGUCGUAAAGCUCUUUUACCAGGGAUGAUAAUGACAGUACCUGGAGAAUAAGCUCCGGCUAACUCCGUGCCAGCAGCCGCGGUAAUACGGAGGGAGCUAGCGUUGUUCGGAAUUACUGGGCGUAAAGCGUACGUAGGCGGUUAUUCAAGUCAGAGGUGAAAGCCCGGGGCUCAACCCCGGAACGGCCUUUGAAACUAGGUAGCUAGAAUCUUGGAGAGGUCAGUGGAAUUCCGAGUGUAGAGGUGAAAUUCGUAGAUAUUCGGAAGAACACCAGUGGCGAAGGCGACUGACUGGACAAGUAUUGACGCUGAGGUACGAAAGCGUGGGGAGCAAACAGGAUUAGAUACCCUGGUAGUCCACGCCGUAAACGAUGAUAACUAGNUGUCGGUCGACUGUGUCUGAGUGGCGCAGCUACGCAUUAAGUUAUCCGUCCGUCGGGUAGGUACGGUCGCGAGAGUUAAACGUACGAAAGGAAGUAGUAACGGUCGUGAGACGUGCCGAACGGACGACGACGAGGGAGGUUAGG
Molecule: ribosomal RNA, 609 nt
Filed under: uncultured bacterium
Lineage: Bacteria
Description: bacterial SSU rRNA
Rfam family: Bacterial small subunit ribosomal RNA (bases 1-515)
Source: RNAcentral